GAUCAGAGUGAGCCCAGGCUUUGUGUGCCUGAGUCUCCUUCGCCUGCCGUGGAGUGUCGGCCUGAAGGCAGGAGACUGAUUUAACAGCCACCUGAGGGCCCGCUGCGAUGAUCUCAGCAGGACAGCCAGACGGGCUGGCGGCCAUCUUUGAGUGCUUCCAGGGUGUCAAUAUCUCCCCAAGGCGGCUUGUACGCAUGUCCGGCACCCGGUUUUCCGCUUGGUGCCUGGUUUUCAGCUUGGUGGCGGGUCUUGUCUGGUUCCCAGUUUUACGUCUUGUGCCCUGUUUUUGCAGUUGCCACUAGGGGACAGUGCUCCAUCUCUGGCACAGGUGGUAGUCCGGCAGGAAUAUCUAUAUCCAUGUGCUCUCAAAGCUGCUGCCUCCUGGGUCGGGCUUCCAAUUGGCCUGAAUCAAGACUGAAAUCUUCCCUUCUGGAACACCAGCAGAUGUUCACACAGCUCUCAACUACUGAGCCACACUCAAAAUUAAAUAGGCUGCUUGGACAAUUGCAAAGAUAUGAGAGAUAGCCUGUGAACAAGGCUGAAGGAGACGAUUUAUCGUCUCCAUGAAGCCUCUCCUUUAAGACUGGAAGAGGUGGCUGUCUUACCAAAUGUACAGAACGACACAGAGUCAAGCAAAAUGAGGAAACAAACGAGUGUGUUCUAAACAACAGCAGCAAAAAGCCUCCUGUUGAUUUUUGUUCAACAUUAGACAUCAGAAGUGGGACUCAUCUCUGUCUCUAAUGCAAGCAAAGCACCUACAGGAGUCCUUUGUACUCUGUUGCCUCCUCAUCAGUCUUGGAUUACGAGUGAAAACAACUCCUCCAAGAAUCCAGUGAGCCUGCUUUCCUGGGAGAAACUUGGAAGAUACAAGGUUAGAGAGACUGCCGGCCCUUUCACUGCAGCUGGACUGGACAUACAAAGGACAGUGAAGUCAUGUCCCUCUACUGUAUACUCAGCUAGUCUAUCACCUCUGGUGGUUUUGUGGCUUAGGUGUCACAGAGUCAUGUAUUAGAGACCCAAACUCCUUAUCACCAUGACUCUUUUUUGUUAAGCCAUACUUGCUUCUCUUGUCAUUUAC
Bos taurus (domestic cattle) is the source of this 1078-nucleotide long non-coding RNA. NCBI's taxonomy places the organism in Eukaryota, Metazoa, Chordata, Mammalia, Artiodactyla, Bovidae. The record is from Ensembl.